UACGUAGGGUGCGAGCGUUGUCCGGAAUUACUGGGCGUAAAGAGCUCGUAGGUGGUUUGUCGCGUUGUUCGUGAAAACUCACAGCUUAACUGUGGGCGUGCGGGCGAUACGGGCAGACUGGAGUACUGCAGGGGAGACUGGAAUUCCUGGUGUAGCGGUGGAAAUGCGCAGAUAUCAGGAGGAACACCGGUGGCGAAAGGCGG
RNAcentral lists this ribosomal RNA (203 nucleotides) under uncultured bacterium. Its description in RNAcentral is "partial 16S ribosomal RNA". It matches the Rfam family "Bacterial small subunit ribosomal RNA", at positions 524 to 725 of the family's 1533-position model. The record is from RNAcentral.